This 207-nucleotide ribosomal RNA is filed under the name Escherichia coli. Its description in RNAcentral is "partial 23S ribosomal RNA". It matches the Rfam family "Bacterial large subunit ribosomal RNA", at positions 2112 to 2318 of the family's 2925-position model. Lineage: Bacteria; Pseudomonadati; Pseudomonadota; Gammaproteobacteria; Enterobacterales; Enterobacteriaceae. The record is from RNAcentral.
UGACACUGAACAUUGAGCCUUGAUGUGUAGGAUAGGUGGGAGGCUUUGAAGUGUGGACGCCAGUCUGCAUGGAGCCGGCCUUGAAAUACCACCCUUUAAUGUUUGAUGUUCUAACGUUGGCCCCUAAUCGGGGUUGCGGACAGUGUCUGGUGGGUAGUUUGACUGGGGCGGUCUCCUCCUAAAGAGUAACGGAGGAGCACGAAGGUU